This 559-nucleotide long non-coding RNA is filed under the name Phasianus colchicus (ring-necked pheasant). RNAcentral describes it as "lncRNA (ENSPCLG00000011252.1)". The record is from RNAcentral. Lineage: Eukaryota; Metazoa; Chordata; Aves; Galliformes; Phasianidae.
GAAUUUCUGCUUACAUUUAGAUAAAGCAAGAGAAGACGUGUUUGGAUCUUAUAUCCCACCUAGGCAGAAGAAGAAAUGCAGCACAGGAAGCAGUUGGCUGCAGAAUAUGAGGAAUGUGUGAACAAACAGAUGCAGUUACUGCAGCAUGAUCUGAAAUGCCAGGAAGAGCAUUAUGUCACGUUCAAUUCUGCCCUGCGAGAGGCAGUGAGGUUGGCAGAGAUGCUGACAAAUAAGAUGGCUUGUAAAAGAAGCCCAACCACUUGGUCCCAGCCAGACUGUAAAAGCCUGUUAGCCCAGAUAGAUGCUGCAAGCAACAGGAUGUCAAGCUUAAUAAUAACAGAGAGCCACCGCCUGAAAGCAUGGGGAGUGCUGGGUGAAGGAACAGGAGCUCACCUUCUUAACAAAGAUAAAACCAGGAUCCUUACCAAACAGGAGCUUGUGGGUAACUACAACCUCUAGAAAUUCUUUUCAAAAUGAUGCUAGAAUGUAAGGAAGUGUAGUCAGGAAGGUGCACAUCUGCUCCUCUUGAUGCUUUAAUAAAUAGGUGACAAAAGCACCA